CCAAUAGCGUAUAUUAAAGUUGUUGCAGUUAAAAAGCUCGUAGUUGAAUUUCGGGGUUAGUAGGCUGGUCGUGCCACUGGUAUGUACUGGUCUUACUGACUUCUCCUUUCUGAAGAACUGUAAUGCCAUUAAUUUGGUGUUGCAGGGAAUCAGGACUGUUACUUUGAAAAAAUUAGAGUGUUUAAAGCAGGCUUACGCUUGAAUACAUUAGCAUGGAAUAAUGAAAUAGGACGUUCGAUCGUAUUUUGUUGGUUUCUAGGAUUGACGUAAUGAUUAAUAGGGAUAGUUGGGGGCAUUAGUAUUCAAUUGUCAGAGGUGAAAUUCUUGGAUUUAUUGAAGACUAACUACUGCGAAAGCAUUUGCCAAGGAUGUUUUCAUUAAUCAAGAACGAAAGUUAGAGGUUCGAAGGCGAUCAGAUACCGCCCUAGUUCUAACCAUAAACGAUGCCGACCGGCGAUCCGCCGUCGUUAAUUGAAUGACUCGGCGGGCAGCCUCCG
This 497-nucleotide unclassified non-coding RNA is filed under the name uncultured Glomus. RNAcentral's name for it is "bacterial SSU rRNA". It matches the Rfam family "Eukaryotic small subunit ribosomal RNA", at positions 591 to 1092 of the family's 1831-position model. Lineage: Eukaryota; Fungi; Glomeromycota; Glomeromycetes; Glomerales; Glomeraceae. The record is from RNAcentral.